Megalobrama amblycephala (Wuchang bream) is the source of this 833-nucleotide long non-coding RNA. RefSeq lists it as uncharacterized. The transcript is spliced from 5 exons. The record is from RefSeq and is a predicted model, not a curated record. Lineage: Eukaryota; Metazoa; Chordata; Actinopteri; Cypriniformes; Xenocyprididae.
CACUCUUCUCAGACUCAUGAUAACUAUAGGGAUCUUCUACAAGUUUCAACCGAGAAGCCAUUACAGACUCCAGUAAGACACCUUUAAAUGUUGAUGAAGAAGCAGAACAAUACACAGACGACACAUCACAACAUAGCCACAAGCGCAACAUUCCACCAUUCUGUCCAUGACUUUUUCAUGAGAAUCUCGUUCUUGUUCAAACUGCAAACAUUGAGAACAAGACACCAGAACAUAUUCAAAGGCAUUAAAUAAACCUCAAAAGAUGUCUUCCACAACUACGAGCAGUCUGACCAAAUCUCCUUUUUUCAGUACUUUUUCAGGAAACAUUUUGACAAUUAUACUAGAGAUAGUGACAGAUUACAAAUUUGCAUGUCCGUGUGACAUUGAGAUGAAUACAAAACUAACAGGCCUAAUCUUUAGUUCAUUUGCAUUUCAUAUUUUAGCUUUAAUGCUCUGUCUCUAUUUUCGGUAUGUUCAGUCAGAAGAGGAUAAGAAGAAAUCUUUAUUCAAUAUCCUCAACUUUCUGUUUCCACCUAUCCUGUGGAUCAUUUUGUUGCUGUUUGACGGGGAUUACAUAGCCUGUAGUAAAACAGACUGGAAUGGAGAUUAUGUUCUUGAUGACAAACUAAAUAGAAAAUGGUGUAAACCUACCGAAUUGAUCCCUGGAAGAAAUGAGACUGAACUACAAAACCUGACUCUAUCUUUUAUUUAUGAGUCACAGCUUGUUGGCUAUAUUGUGCUUCUGAUCCACAGCAUUUUAGUGGUAUUAGCUUUGUUCAUUUGGGUCUGCAGCAACUUACUGAGAAAAGACAAAACCACAGACUGAUGAAGAA